GUUUGGGCUUAACUACUUUGUGGUGUUUUCCUUUUCACUCUGGUGGUCCUUUUAUGUCUUUUAUCUUUAGCGCUUGCUACAUGGACAGACACAAAGCUGCAAGUUCAAUACCCCUUUGAAAGGGUCAGCUUCCUAGUGUUUGUCGAGAUUGCAGUGCACAAGAGAAAUAAAUGUCCUGUGGCCCUGGUACAAACGGAGAAAAAAAUUCCUGAGGCCCAAGAUGGGAGAAAGUCUAAAAGGAGAGGUGAGACAGAGCCAGUCCGAUUCAAAGGCGAGUUCCAGAAGCGGCAGGCACUCUGCCUCAGGCGCCAGGCCAGAACCUCGGACAGAUUCCACACUUCGCUCAGGGUCUGCCUUGAUCCCCAGGAGCAACGGGGUCCCCGAAGGCAGAAGACACUUCCACGACGUUCUUUGGAAUGACAGCUCUCCGGGGACAAGGGGAGGCAGGAAGAAGACGAGCACCCAGGACCCAGCUGGCACACCGCCCUCCCCCACGACCACGGCAGCCUCAAAAAGAGCUGACGGGACGUGUUAGGCAGAAGGCCACCCCAUUCAUCACAGACCCAGGCCGACGUCAUGGAAAGAGGAGCACAUGCUAGGAGAGGCCGGCCUCCCAGCUGGUCCUUCCAGUUGUGAAAUCGAGAACCCCGGUGGCUGUUACCCACCCAGGCAAGUGCAGCUUCUUGAACUCCCACCCGAGGCGCCCCCCCGCCCUACUGCUGCCCAGAUCAUGUGUCCCUAGGCUUGGGGCAGGAAGGGAGACGGCCCACUGCAGCCCACGCCUCCCCUUGCUAACUUUUCAGCAGACCGACAAGAAAUGGUGCGCCCCUCCAGCUCCUCGGAACUCCCCAGGUGCUUCUGAGCCCCAGGGAGCUCUAAAGGCGGGGGCCCCAUCCCACUCGGGGCGGCCCCCAUCCUCCUCCUCGCUCACACAUGCACCAUUAAAUGGCCCUGCCUCCCCACAGUGCAUGCUUGCUGCUGCCCCCCACCGCGCCAGGAGCGAAUGAAGCCCCCCAGGCCCCUCAGAGAGAGUGGGGGCCUGGCUGGUGAACGUCCGCCAAGGGCUCUGUGCAGAGGGAAGGCCUGGGGAGCCCUCCUCACCCCAGCGGCCCUGUCAGCAGGAAGAAGGCCGCAGGCGGGGAGCCUCCCACCCACAACCUCUGUGGCACCCUGCUGCCCCGGCACAGGCCUCAGACUCCGACCCACGUAGAUCCGAAUCUCUGCACACCCCACUGCCCGCUCAGGGGUUGAAACCUGCCCCCCGGAGCCUCACUGUACUGCGUGCUCCUCCAACAUGCUGCUCCGCCUGGAACUCUGUCCCCGGGCAGAGCUACUCAGCAAGGGCACAGCGCUGUGCUCCCUUUCCUUGUCCUAAUCACCACCUUUCCUGCGCCCUCCUUCCACCCAGCCGCUGGGUCGGCCCCGCCCAUCCCCGCUGCCUCUCCCACAGAACGUCUGAGGUCCAGGCCUUCCUGCCUGGCUCCUUUCCCGGCCGCCCCCUUCCUGCCUCUGGCCCACAGCAGUUCAUUACAGGACACAUGUCCCGGGUGCCCGCAACGGGCCAGGCACUGCGGGCCACUCAGGAGGAAUGGGUGAGCGAGCCGAGAUCCCUGCCCGCACGGAGCUCCCGUUUCCCGGGGAGGAGGGACAACCAUCGGCAGCGAGACUGUGCCUGGAGAGCAGCGGAGGCAUCACAGGUUUCCUUACAGGCCCCAGCCCCAGCCGAGGUGCAGACAGGACCUCCAAACCUGCUGGAUGCAACCUGAAAUGCACGUGGGUCUGUCUGUCUCCUGUCCCUCGUGCAGCUCCGGGAACAAGGGGCAUCAAAGAAGGCGACAAGACACCACCACCUGCACUGCCCACCUUGUCUUGGAAAUGCAGCGAUGGCGUGCUCCCCCGGGGAAAAUGAGACCCCGGGGGCUUUGCGGGCCUGUAAGGGGCGAGGUAUUUAUACCCUUUCGGUCUCUCCCGCCCUCUCCAGUGAACUCACAGCGGGAUUCCCGAGGAGGCCCCAGGGUGACGGUGCCAGUACAGCCGAGGGGCUGGGUCAGCCGCAGAGAAACGACAGUCAGAAGAGUCUGCCUGUGGUUUCUCCCAUCGCCUCCGGCACAUCCCUCCCCAGCUCCCCAGCCUCCCCUCCUGAAUGUGCGUUUCCAAAUCUUAUGCCCAGCGGCCUCCCUUCUAAACCACACUCGAGGCCUCUGGUGAGCUGCCUCUGAGGUCUUUCUGCUUCAAGAGGGCGGGCGACCCUUUGGGUAGCUGGGGAGUCGGGAACAAUCGUCCCUGACAACAGGCGUCUGACACAGUACGUGAGGUGUCCGCACUGACUGUUCCGUUAGAUGCCAGUGACCCCCCUGCGAGGAGACACGGCCCUCCCGCACAUUUCCCAGGCUACAGUACAGUGUGAGCGUAACCUGUGCGCACCGGGAGACCAAAACAUUCUGGGGCUUCCCCUCCACAGCUCCGAGGUAUGCCUGCCCUCGAAAGAAUGCUCAAAAAUACAUGUGCACGCCUUAAUUUGAAAGUACUUUGUUGCAACAACAAAAAAGCUAGCCAUCAGCAGUUUGGAAUUGUUUUGCUGGUGGGGGGUCAUCUCACCUUGACAUUGACGGUGCUGACUGACCAGGGUGGUGGCUGUGGAGGAUGGGGUGGCUGUGGCCAUCCCUUAAGAUAAGACAGCAAUGAAGUCCGCAGCAUCAGUGGACGCUUCCUUUCACGAACGAUUUCUCUGGUUGCUGUUGGACAGCAUUUUAUCCACUGGUGCAUUUCUUUCAACACUUGGAGCUGAUCCUCUCAGACGCUGUCGCUGUUUAUUAACUAAAUUUAUGGAAUAUUCUAAGUCUUUUGUUGUCACUUCAACCAUCUUCACAGCAUCUUGGCCCGGAGGAUCUUGCAUCUCAAGGAGCCACUUUCUCUGCUCAUCCAGAGGAAGCAACUCCUCAUUGUUCAAGUUUGAUCAUGAAGAUCGGUCACAUCUUCAGGCUCCACUUCUAAUUCCAGUUCUCUGGUUGUUUCCACCACGUCUGCAGUGACUUCCUCCACGGAAGUCUUGAAGCUCUCAAAGUCACCCAUGAGGGUCGGAAUCAGCUUCUUCUGAACUCCUGCUCAUGGUGAUAUUUUGGCCUCUCCCCAUGAAUCAUGAAUGUUCUCCUUUUUUAAGAUUUUAUUUAUUUAAUUUUAGACAGAGGGGAAGGGAGG
Molecule: long non-coding RNA, 3198 nt
Organism: Phyllostomus hastatus (greater spear-nosed bat)
Lineage: Eukaryota; Metazoa; Chordata; Mammalia; Chiroptera; Phyllostomidae
Exons: 3
Source: RefSeq, a predicted model, not a curated record